UUGCAGGAUCAACCAGGUAGCAUUCCUCACGGACAUCGGGCCGCAAGACGCGUCUCGUCAGUGCGGCGCCGAACGUCGUUCGAACGUGGCGUGUGACGCCAAUUUUUGUGGGCAAACAGGGGUCGGGGACCCCGUGCCCGUAGCGUUUUCCGCAUCCCGAAUAUCGAACGGGAACCCGGGGGCCGCGACGACCGCAUGCGGGCGGGCGUCACGGAACACGGGUCUCGCUUAGGGGUUCACCCGUGGCCGCAACGUGCGAACGGGCAACGUUGGGCGAACGUGGGAAGGAUUGGCCGACACAAUUCCGUCUACGUAGGUAUGCAACACAGGAAACCGACUACAACGGCCAAGGCAACCUGCCCUUGUGCCAACGACUGAGGAGGAACGCACGGAAGGACGUCGCUGCCCAAGCAGGGAUCCAACCAACCCAUACAAGA
RNAcentral lists this unclassified non-coding RNA (437 nucleotides) under Coelospermum reticulatum. RNAcentral describes it as "partial external transcribed spacer". Lineage: Eukaryota; Viridiplantae; Streptophyta; Magnoliopsida; Gentianales; Rubiaceae. The record is from RNAcentral.